RNAcentral lists this non-coding RNA (23 nucleotides) under Cricetulus griseus (Chinese hamster). Lineage: Eukaryota; Metazoa; Chordata; Mammalia; Rodentia; Cricetidae. The record is from RNAcentral.
UCUUCUGGCCUGCAGGGACACAU